GAUGAACGCUGGCGGCGUGCCUAAUACAUGCAAGUCGAGCGAACGGACGUGAAGCUUUCUUCUCUUAUGUUAGCGGCGGACGGGUUAGUAACUCGUUUAUAACCUACCUAUUUUACUGUGAUAACUUCGGGAAACCGCUGCUACUACCGUAUGAUAUUUUGAACCUCAUGGUUCUAUAGUUCAUUACGGUCUUGCUGUCACUUAUAGAUGUUUCCGCUCUGCAUUAGAUAUUUGGUAAGGUAACGGCUUACCAAGGCAACGAUGCAUAGACGAACUGAGAGGGUGAUAGGCAACAGUGGAAGUGAGAAAGGGACCAGACGACUAAGGGAGGGAGCAGUAGGGAAUGUUACGCAAUGGGCGAAAGCAUGACGGAGCAACGCCGAGUGAGUGAAGAAGGUGUUCGGAUCGUAAAACUCUGUUAUUAGGGAAGAAAAUAUGUGUAAGUAAAUGUGAAGAGAUUGACGGUAACUAAUAAGAAAGCAACGGCUAACUACGUG
RNAcentral lists this ribosomal RNA (497 nucleotides) under uncultured bacterium. RNAcentral's name for it is "partial 16S ribosomal RNA". It matches the Rfam family "Bacterial small subunit ribosomal RNA", at positions 28 to 507 of the family's 1533-position model. The record is from RNAcentral.